AACGGCUGGCGGCAUGCCUAACACAUGCAAGUCGAACGGAAGUAGCAAUACUUUAGUGGCGAACGGGUGAGUAACACGUGAGCAACCUGCCUUAUACUCAGGGAUAACAGUUGGAAACGACUGCUAAUACCGGAUAAGACCACGCUAUGGCAUCAUAGAGGGGUCAAAGUGCUUUAGCGGUAUGAGAUGGGCUCGCGUCCAAUUAGCUAGUUGUGGGGUAACGGCCCACCAAGGCGACGAUUGGUAGCCGACUUGAGAGAGUGAUCGGCCACACUGGAACUGAGACACGGUCCAGACUCCUACGGGAGGCAGCAGUGGGGAAUAUUGGGCAAUGGAGGAAACUCUUACCCAAGCAAUGCCGCGUGAGUGAUGAAGGUCUUUGGAUUGUAAAGCUCUUUGAUUGGGGAAGAAUAAAUGACGGUACCCAAAGAACAAGCCCCGGCUAACUAUGUGCCAGCCGCCGC
RNAcentral lists this ribosomal RNA (464 nucleotides) under uncultured bacterium. RNAcentral describes it as "bacterial SSU rRNA". It matches the Rfam family "Bacterial small subunit ribosomal RNA", at positions 35 to 518 of the family's 1533-position model. The record is from RNAcentral.